Molecule: long non-coding RNA, 3224 nt
Filed under: Homo sapiens (human)
Lineage: Eukaryota; Metazoa; Chordata; Mammalia; Primates; Hominidae
Description: HSALNT0333240
Source: RNAcentral
AGAGUGCUAAGGAUUGAGGGAUUAAGAGGAGGUGAUUGUAUUAUUCCUCUUUUCAGAUAAUGGAGAGAGAGAAGAGAACAGCAGUAGCCGUUGCCAGAAAUAUUGAUUGUUGGUGGCAUAUAUAAUGAGUGCUGGGUGUUAAGGAAGCAAUGGUGAAGGAGAGACACCCUCCCGACCCUCAUGGUGCUUGCAGCCUAGUGGAGCUAUGAAAAGAUAGGCAAGUGAGUCCUAUGAUUGGAGAAGUAAUGAGAAGUAAUGAGAAGCGUCUUCUAAGCAUAGGGGUAAAGACUGCAAAGACCCUGAAGGGAGAAAGUAAUGGCCAUUCUGAGAACUGAAAGUUUGCACAGUGCACAGAGGGCAUGAAGAACGAAGGAAAGAGAUUUUUUUUUUUUUUUUUUUGCCCAAGAUGGCAAGUUGCUUAAAACCUAAAGCUCCUUUCAAUUCUUUACAAUCCAAGAUUAUAUGGAAUGGACUGGGAACAAAGAGAGGGACUGGCAUUUAAAGUCUUUUAUACACUUUGGAACAAAUGUUAUUCUCCAUUCAUCCUGACACUAAAUUGGUUAGCCAAACCCAAAGAUCUACUAAUAAUCCUGCUUUGGCAUGGGAGAAUGAGUGAGAUAAGGAGGCAAUAGAGGAGAUGAAUCGACAAAUGGAAGGAAUAGAAUUCUGGUUGAUGUCCUUGUCUCUAAGCUGUAGCAGCAAGUAUUUAUCCUAAUCAUGUGGUGUUAGCACGGAGAUGAGAAAGAGAGAAAGACAACAUCAUGCUUUGCUGUCUGUGUGUGAACUGAGUAACAGCUGUGAAGGAUCAGUCACCAAAAGACUUUGAAAGAAGAGGCUUGAUUGGUCACGGUAAUGAUGCUCCCCUGGCCAUGGAAGUUUAAUUGGGAGAAAAGAACAUCUGCUUAUACGAAAACAUAUUAUAUUCAGCCAUCCCUGCCCUGACUUUGGCCUUUAAAAACAGUGGCAUUAAUUAUCUCAACAAAUGAAUCUUCGGGAUAAAAAUAAUCUAAAUAUUAUUUUACGCUUACUACAUAUUUGCAACGUGCUAAGCUCUUUAUGGUUGCUACCACAAAAAACAUUUAUAAUAUGAGACUUCACAAGGUUAGGAACAGGCUUCACUUCAUUGUGAUGUGUGUAAGGUGACAGAGGACAUAUAACGAAUACGUGGAAGAACUAGGAAUUUGACCUUAGCUUCCAGACAUUUUGAGGAGGAUACACUAUGUCCAUCUUGCUUUCCUAUCAAGAAAAGUAUACCCAGUUUGUGCAGUAGCCCUGUACCAACAGAUACAUUACAGCAGGUUGUUUCCGUAUUUUGGCUAUUGUGAAUAGUGCUGCAAUAAACAUGGAAGUGCUGAUAUAUCUUUGAGAUCUUGACUUCAAACAAAAGAAGAAAAUCUUGCAAUAUAUGACAACACGGAUUAACCUGGAGGACAUUGUGCUUAGUGAAGUUAGCCAGUCACAGACUGACAAGUACUGCACGAUUCCACUUAUGAAGACUACAGUUCCUAUCUUCACAGGUGGCUGUUAGCUCUAAAUGAACUCAUUUAUUUUGAAAGCAUGAUUUAAAGUAUAGUUUUAAACUAUAAGCAUUUCAGAAGUGAUGACCCAUGACUCAAAUCUCAAAAAUAAAUGCUACAGUUCACAGUUGGAAUAUGGACACAAGAAAAAUAAUAGAUGAUGCCACUGAAAGGUAAACAUACCAUUCUGACAUGCAUGAAAAUGAAACGACAAAUUGAUACACGCAGUGCUUGGAAUGGAUGGAGUCCUUCUAAUGAGUGAUUACCUGUGGUAUAACUAUAUUGAUUGUGUUUGUACAUGUCAAAUGGGGCUGGCGAGGAUGAACUUGAAGAAAUCAAUCUUGGAACCUGCUAGGACAGCAGCCUCCUGGUUUCACAGUACUAAAUCAUGACUUCAAAAUUUUGAAGUAAAAGAAAACUGCAAAACUUUGUAAAGGUACCAGUCUCUUCCUGACACUAUUUGCCUUGGCAAAAGAUUCACUGUCAACUUAAAAGACUAACAUGUGCUCAGAUGAUGAUUUGUGGAGGACAGAUAAUUAUGAGUACAUUUAGAAAUACACACUCUUCCAAACCCUGCUCUUUCCAUAUAAUGAAGUUAUUUAUUUCUAUUUUUUAUUUAUUUUUCUAAUAAUUACAAACAUACUUUGGAGACCCACAUUCCUGUAUUAUUCUUUCAACAUACUGAAGAAGAGUUAUUUCUAUGCUUCUUUCUAUGUGUUGGGCUUAAGAUUUAUUAGAAGGAAUGUGUAAAAACAAAGGCAGCAAAGUUUCUAUUUUUAUUGGGAGUCACUCCCGGAGUAAGUGGGGAUAGUUGUGCACACACACACACACACAUUCAUGCACAAAGAAAGAGUGAUCAAGUGUAUAACACACUUUUAGCAGUGUUUUGCUGGAAGAAUAAAGUAUAACUCCUUGUCCGCCCUUUUAUUAUACUGGGGUUCACACUAAGAGAGUCUGAGGACCUGUGGAACUCCCAUUUGCAUGAAAUAACUUUUGCAUCUAUUCUGGAGGAAAACUUCCUAAGGCAGAUUUGGACAGAAAAUUGCUAUCAGCGCAAAUAAAACAAUGCAAAGCCUACUCCGGGGAACGUUGCUCUGCCACCACUACUGAAAUGGGUCAUCCCCUUGGUUUCUGAAUAAAGAAUUAUGAAACCUGGGGCUAGAAUGCUCAGGGAGGAAUUUACCAAUCCAAAUCUUCCCCUUAUGGUAGAGAACAAACUUUCAAGGUUUGUUCUCCACUGUAAGUGUGCGAGGGCUGUUAGGGACCGUAAUAUGGCUGCCGGAGACUGGUGUGUGUACCUCCUUGACUGUACGUCUCAUUUCCAGUUAUGAUUUUACAAUCAUCUCUUUCUCAACCUUUGCUUUUAAAUAUAGGAAGGUACGGCUCACCAUGGAGCGGACAUUUUCUUCAGGAGCGGUACGGUGUCUAAGAUAUGCAGAGGUUGUAUUCUAGUCCUAUAACUCAAUUCUCAAACACAUGGCUUUUAGCCAGGGAUAUCCUAAAGGAAAAUUACACUAUAUGCAACCCCUCCUUACUCCUCAAAUAUUAUCUAUAUUAAACACAGCUGAAAUUUGAGAGUGUCCUUACAGGUGAAAAUUUAACAAUUUAACAAAAGGACACUGCUGAAUGUGUGGGGACAAAGGAAGGAUGAAUCUUUCAUCAUGACAAAAGACUACUUGCCACAUUCUCCCUUAACUUAGAAAAACA